This is a non-coding RNA of Paramuricea clavata, 238 nucleotides long. NCBI's taxonomy places the organism in Eukaryota, Metazoa, Cnidaria, Anthozoa, Malacalcyonacea, Plexauridae. The record is from the annotation of a GenBank genome assembly.
CUUCGAAACAUAUUUUGCCUUGAUUUCACAAAACAUAUUGCUGAAAACUUUCGUCUUAAACCUGUAAUCAGUUUCAGUUGGGUUAAUUUCGCAACAUUCAGGAUAAAUUGAUGACGAUGAUACUUGCUGGCUACUGUACCCUUUUUCCACUGUGGUUUUAAUUUGCUCAAGAGCAAAAAUGUUGUCGUGAAAUCUUUGUUUCAAGACGUUAGCCAAUAGAUCAAUUUCUCUUUUACCA